CCAAAAUGGGGUUUGAAGUUUCAGUCUCUGAGGAAGUAAACACUGAGAGGGUGCGUGAACUCAAAGAAUUUGAUGACACAAAAGCUGGUGUUAAAGGCCUUGUUGAUCAAGGAAUCACAAAAAUCCCAAGAUUAUUUCAUCAUCCACCUGAUGAACAUGUGAAGGUCUCAACUUCAGGCGGAAAAGCAGACAAUAUUCCUGUUAUAGACCUUGCAGAAGUUGACAAGGAUCCAAGUUUACGCCAAGGAGUUAUUGACAGAAUAAGGGAAGCAUCUGAGAAAUGGGGUUUCUUUCAAGUGGUCAACCAUGGCAUCCCUGUGACUGUUUUAGAGGACUUGAAAGAUGGGGUGUGCAGGUUUUAUGAACAAGAUACUGAGGUGAAAAAGGAUCUAUAUACCCGGGACCACAAGAAACCUUUUUUGUAUAAUAGCAAUUUUGAUAUCUACUCUUCACCAGCACUCAAUUGGAGGGACACUUUCAUGUGUUAUCUGGCUCCUAAUCCUCCCAAACCUCAAGACUUGCCAGCAGUAUGCAGGUACGUUUUUGUAUACAGUGCCUUGAGUUUUAUGCCACUUAGAUCAAGUAUGUUAAGCAAUUCAAUUAAAAUGCAUUGAUCCUAUAAAGGUUUUCAUACAAUAUGGGAAGAUGGUUGUACUUUUUGAUUAUUUUAAGAUAAUUUAUAGGAUGAAAGUUGAGGUCAAAUUUAGCUUUAUAAGUUUAUACUCAUAUGAAGUUAAUAUUCAUAAAGGGUGUGCAAUGUUCCUGAAUAAGAUUGAACCUUCUAAUAGCACAGUAGGCUAUGAAUUCUUAUGAACAAAGGCAUAAAUUGUUAUGAACAAAGUUACAAAGAGGAAGAAAAUCUUAAGUUAAACUUUCCAUUUCAACCAUAAGUCAUUUAGUUGAUUGCUAACUGAUUUCAUCUUCUUGUAGGGAUAUACUUCUGGAAUAUGGGACAUGUGUGAUGAAACUUGGAAUUGCACUAUUGGAAUUACUAUCAGAAUCUCUAGGGCUGCAUCCAAACCAUUUAAAAGACAUGGAUUGUGCUAAAGGGCUUAUUUCUCUUUGCCAUUACUACCCUGCCUGCCCUGAACCAGAAUUAACACUGGGAACCACCAAGCAUUCUGAUAAUUGUUUCCUCACAGUGCUCCUCCAGGAUCAUAUUGGUGGUCUUCAGGUUCUUUACCAGAACACAUGGAUUGAUAUAGCCCCAGAACCUGGGGCUCUUGUAGUUAACAUUGGUGAUUUUCUUCAGGCAAGUUCUUUAUUGUUAGAGUAAAUUACACUAAUUACUCCAGAAGUUUUUGUCAAAAAUUACAUAAACUUUUUCAAUAUCUGUUACAUUAUUGGGGAACUCAGAGUGUAAUGUUAACAACCAAUGGAGUUAGUAUAGUACUAAACGAAACUAAGAUAAUUAAUUAGUAUAGUUUACUCUUUUCUUUUAUUCUGCCUUCCAAGCAACUAAAAUACUCCAUAUUUCAUGAUACUUUUCUUGCAAACAUUUCGUGAAAGUUUAAAAUUCACAAAACAAUCAGCGAAAAGACUUAUUUCUAGCAAACUUUUAUAGAAACUAUGUUUGAAAAGUCCUAGGACAUAUAGCUGUAUCAUGAGAGUACUGAUAGGUUGACAACUCAAUAUUGAAUUGUUUCAGAUUACAACCUUACAACCUUUAAAAGUAGAAGAAGAACUAAUCUUGUAGUUGAGUGUAAGUUAUCUGAGAAAAUUGAGAAAGUGUAAAAGAUUGUAUAUUUGUAAUAAUAUUUUUUUUGGGUAAAAAGCCAGAACCUGAUGAUACACUUGACAACUUGACAAGUUCUUAUGAUACGUACAUGAAUUUAAAUAAGUGACAUUAUUGUUUUUUGUUUUCUUGAACUACAGCUUAUAACAAAUGACAAAUUCAAGAGUGUAGAACAUAGAGUAGUGGCAAAUGUGACAGGUCCAAGAAUAUCUGUUGCAUGCUUUUUCAGCGAAGGUCUUAAAUCAUCAGGGAAACUCUAUGGACCUAUAAAAGAGUUGUUAUCAGAAGACAAUCCUCCCAAAUACAGAGAAAUCGCUGUUGAGGAAUAUGCGCGCUACUACGUUGAAAAAGGCCUUGAUGGGACCUCUGCUCUUGAUCAUUUCAGGAUUUGAGUUGGAUUGAUGUGGUUGAAUUAGCACAAUAAAUGCAUUAGAAAUUGAAACAUUUAUGAAGCUCAAUGAGAUUAAGGAUCUUAUUAUCGGACUGGAAUUCCGUAGUGUCACUUGUCUUGUUAUUUUGGCACUUGCUGUUUCAAGACAUAACUGCUGAUAUGCUUUAUCUACAUGUUCUACGUUGAAACCCACAGUUCUUCACUUCUUCCUUCUGUCAAAGAGUAUAUGGAACUAUACAAAAGUAUCUCAGCUUAUAAGAGAAAGAUAAAUCAUAAUUAAAACUUAUUAGAAUUUAUAAAAUUGUAUGCCACACUCAUGAUUUUGUAGUUUUUCAUAAUUUUUCACAAAGAAAAUGAGUAAAUUAAAUAAUAAUAUAUUUAAUUAUCAAAAGAUGUGUAAUAUUGUUAACCUAUCAUUAUUUGUGAAAAAUCUAGAGAAUAAAGAUGAGAACGUCUUAGUUUAUUCCCCAAAUGAAAAACUAAAAUUCAAAUAAAACCUUUUUCGCUUACUCCUCCUCAAUCCUGAAGCUUGCAUAGUUGAUUACAGAACUUAUGCACAGGUAGCCUCAAUCCAAACAUGAUUUAUAUAAUAAGUUAUAAAUUUUUAAAAAAUUAUUAAUAGUGUUAAAACUAUCUUAAAAUUGUAAAAUAUAAAAAAAUUAUUCAUGUGAUACGUAUCCAAUAUCGAAAUACACCAAUUAAAAAUGGUGUCUGAGCUUCUAGGAACACACUUGGUUGUGUGAUAGCAUGACAUUCUCCAGAAGCAAAAGAAAUGGCAGUUGUUUGCAGGUUCUUUUAUCAUUACAUUUUAAGCAUUAAUCCUUUUCUUCCAUUUUCUUUAAUAAAAACUUUUAAUAUUAAAUAUCUCUAUAUAUAAUUAUAUAUAAUUUUACAUCAGUUAGACUCAUCUCAAAUAAUAAUAAUCACCUAUGCCAUUACAUAUAUAAUUUGUCUAACACUAUAAGAUUUUUUAUUACUUUACCAAAUAAUUAUUCAAUAGUAUAGUUAAUUAUAUAGACAUUCAAAAUUUGGUUUAUUAAAGAAGUUAAGAAUUCGAUCAACGGAAGAGUUGAAUUCUGAAUGUGGUUUUCAAUUUCUCUAGCAGUUGAAAUUCAGUUUCCGCACAAUCGAUUUUGAGUUUUUCUUUUGUUUUUUAGAAAAUAAAAGAAAUUUAAAAAUUGAAAAACAAAAAAAAUUUACUUUAAAAAAUAAAUAGUUAAAAAAAAUAUUUUGUAAAAAUUUAGAAAAUAUAUAUUUAAAAAACCAAAAAUUUAGAAAGGUAAAUUAUAUUGAAAAAUAAAAUUCUAUAAAAGUAUAUAUUUAAAAAAGAAUAAUAAUUUAGAAAACUAAUUAUAUUAAAAAAUAAUUAUGUAGAAAAAUAUUCUAUAUUUAAAAAUACUAAUUUAGAAAUGUAACUAUUUUGAGAAAUAAUUCCUUAGAAAAAUAAAUAUUUGAAAAAUUAUUUUUUUAGGAAAAUAAAAAUUUACAGAUUAAUUAUUUAGUUUUGUGUAGAAUUAAAAUAUGUAAUUUUAAUAGUGAUUUAUUUAUAAUUAAAAAAUAUAAUAAAAUAUAGAAUUAAAUAAAAUAAGUAAUUAAAAUGUAAAAAAAUGAAAAUGAUAUUUAAAAAUAUUGUAAAUAAAAAAAUUCUACCUCACAAAUUAAUGGAAAUAUAACUAAAUAAUACAUUAAUUUUUUAUUUUUAUUGUGAAAUUAUAUUUAUAAGAUGCGUGGAUAAAUAAAAUGUAUGUUUAAUAAAUAUGAUAGAAUAUAUUAGAAGAUUUAGACAUUGUAAUUGGUCGGGACGUGCUCGGGUCCUGACUCGAGCAUUUAAGUGUGUUAACUUGGUUGGUCAGGUCAAUUUGGGGGAAGUACUUAGCUCGAUCCAAGAUAAAUGGUAGAUUUAAGAUAAAUGGUAAGCCCAAUGAUGCGUCAUGAGGAUGACCUAGACAGUUGAGAGCCCAUAUUGAAAAUAUAAUUAAAGUAAAAAUAACAUAAGGAAUAACUAAAUUAGUUAAGCACAUAAAUUGCUGUAAAAUUCAAUGAAAAUAAACAAUUACAGAUAAUGUCGUCUGUACUCAAAGAAUAAAGGGAUAUAUUAAUAGAAUAUUUUUAUGUUUGUUAAACUCCUGAAAGGAGGUCUACGAAUACUAUAAAAGGGGCUCGAGACCCUGAGCAAAUGUAAGUUUGAAUAUGAUGAUAUACACCCGUACAUAUACUCUAUAUUCAGAUACUCAUAGUUAUAUGCUCUCACUGAUUUGUCAACAGGUGGAGUUUCCCUCAUUGUGAAUUAUCAGUAUCCCAAAGCAGCAACAAAAAAAAAAGAAAAGUAUGCCAAAGUCCACCACCAAAGUACGAUCCAAGUCAGUCGGCAAGAUCAUUUGGCGCCCACUAUGGUGCCCAAUAAAAAUUGAAUCCCACCAAUGCUUAUAGCUAAGCAACUGGACGUGAUGAAGAAUACUAGGCAAGGGGUGCAGGGACCAGAAGGGGAUGAGGUCCCAACCUUACAACAAAUCAUGGAGACCAUGAGAGCUUUCCAGCAAGCGAAUGAAAAAUAUCGAUGUGAGCAAGAGCGGAUUCGGGAAGAAGCCCGGGUCGAGCAAGAACGGCUGCGAGCAGAGGCUCGAGCUGACCAAGAUCGUCUUUGGGAGCAAAUACGACUGAAUCAAGCGCGUCUCAUGGAGGAAAUCGAGGCCUCCCAAGGACUAUGGAAGAACAUGCACAAGCCAACGAGGAGUUGCGUAAAGCCAAUGAGGAAUUGCGAAGGAACAUGCACCGGCAUUGACGAUGUCCUGCCCGAGAACGUUCCCCGGACAUGUCCUUGAGAGAUGACCCCAAACCGUGCUCUUAGCAAAUCUUGGAAGAGCCCAUACCGCCUCACUGUAUCACGCCCAAGAUUGCCCUUUUCUCCGGCAUGGAGGAUCUUGAGAGUCACUUAAAGGCGUUCAAAGCUCAAAUGAUCAUCUCGAGGGGGAAGGGGUUUAGAGCCGUCCGUUGUAAGAUGCUCAUGGGCACGUUAACAGGAAUAACUCUGUAAUGGUUUAGUGGGAUCCCGGAUGACCAUAUAACCUCUUUCCCUCAAUUCUGCAGAAUGUUUAAGGAGUGGUUCUCGGCCAAUAAAGUUUACCCCCACGGUUGCAUGAUCUAUUUGACGUCAAACAAAGGGAAGGAGAGCUACUCAAAGAGUACAUACACCGUUUAUGCGCAGUCUCUGUGAGGCUUCAGACUCCGAAUGAGGAAAUGAUGGUCGCCGCUUUCAUUAAAGGGAUGACGGCAAGCCCAUUCAGCGACUCAUUAAUCUUAAAUAGGCCGGAAACAUUAUAUGAGGUAUGAGAACGAGCUACAACUCAUAUCAAGGCAGAAGAAGUUGUACUCAGGAAGAACGACAACUCGCGGUCAAAGCUGCCCAGGUAUAAGGAGAGUAGCCGUAAUCGUUCCUCGAGGGAUGAUGAAACAUCCACAAGUAAAAGAACAGACCAGAGGUAUGUUCCGUACAUUGCAAAGAAAGACGAGCUGAAGACUCAAGCCAGUGAAGAGAUAAUCAAGCCAAGGUUCCGAGUAUCCUAUAAGAAACUUAUGGGCAUGGGCAGGGGGGCGAAUAAAUUAAAAUUUCCACAAAAGUUAGAUUAGUUCUUAGGGUCGCGAAGGGAGUGCUGGUAUGAUUUUCAUAGGGCGUGGGGGCACAAGGUCAAACGAUGCAUUGCCCUAGGUUAUAAACUUUCGAAGCUAGUCAAAGAGGGAUUCUUGACAGAGUAUCUCAAGGAUGGCCAAGAGGAACCGAAUAUGAAACUCUAGUCCUUGGAGACCUGAAUACCAUCGCGGGAGUAUUCUCUGGUGGUGAUGUCCCUAGAUGUAGAUAAAUCUGAGAGGUUUGCCGAACCCUCCUUGUGUUUCACCGUAUCUGACUUGGAGGACAUAUUUUGCCACGAAGAUGAUCCUGUGGUAAUAUCUGUUAUUACCAUAGAACGAAAGGUACACAGAGUCCUCAUCGACCAAGGAAGCUCGACUGACGUGAUGUUUUGGGGAACAUUUGUAUAUUUACAAAUCUAUCCGACCAGUUAAGGUCUUACGACGGUUGUCUUAUCGCGUUCGCAGGCAAUUAAGAGGAGGUACGAGGAUAUGUGGAGUUAAGGACGACCUUUUCUGAUGAAAGCGUAGCCAGAAUGAUCACUGUGAACUGUAUUGUUGUUAAUACACCUUUCACGUACAACCUGCUUCUGGGGUGACCUUCCUUGAAUGGGUUAGGCGCGAUGGUUUCUACCAUCCACAUGAAGAUGAAGCUGCCCACGCUCGAAGAAAAGAUAAUCAUGAUGAAGGCCGACCAAAAAAUGACACAAAAAUAGUACGAGAACAACCUUAAAAAUCGCAAGGGAACCUAUGCAAUCACCACCAUAUCGGGAGAACCAGGAUGGAUGGACAAAGUCGUCCCCUGGAAUGAUAGGCGACCUGAACUUGUUGGUGAAGUUCGGGAGUUGGAGAUAAAGGGGAAAAAGUUCAAGCUCAGCAGCUCACUUUGUAGGGAGUUGGAGAAGGAAAUUGCCGAGGUCAUUUCAAAGAAUAUGGUUGCUUUUGCCUGGUCGUCCGCCAACAUGCCGGGGAUUACCUAAAUUUUAUGUGCCAUCGACGCACCAUGGAUGAGAAGGUUAAACCUGUAGUUCAGAGACAAAGGAAAUUCAACAAGGAAAAAUGCCUCGUCAUGAGGAAGGAAACUAAAAAACUCCUCGUUAUGGGCCACAUAAGGGAAAUUCAAUAUCCUGAAUGGUUUGCAAAUGUGGUCAUGGUGAAAAAGGAAAAUGGAAAGUGGAGGAUGUGUGUUGACUUCACCGAUUUAAAUAGGCCUACCCUAAAAAUUCUUACCCUUUGCCAAGCAUCGAAUCCCUGGUAGAUAGCGUUUCAGGUUGUGGUCUGUUAAGCUUCCUGGAUGCUUUUUCAGGGUACAACAAUAUUCGCAUGCACCGGAAGGAUGAGAGUAAGACGACCUUAAUGGACAAAGCCGCUAGUUAUUGUUACAAGGUCAUGCCCUUUGGACUGAAGAAUGCGGAGGCGACUGACCAGAGAAUCAUGCAUCAGAUCUUAUCUCCAAUGCUCAGUGGUAAUGUUCAAGCGUAUGUAGACGAGAUGGUUGUCACCUUAAUAAAGGCGGAUGAACAUGUCACACUCGGAGGAGUUGUUCGCCACUAUAGCAAGGUACAACUUGAAGCUCAAUCCCGAUAAAUGUGUUUUCGGUGUCUCGACACAGAAGUUCCUUUAUGUCUUCUUUUGUUAUUGCCUCUUUGCCUUGAGUCAUAUGUUCUUUAGUGUCAUGAUGUGAGUUGAUUUUUUAGAUGUUUUCAUUUUAAGGUGACACUUUACUUUAAGAUUGAGAUUUUAGGAGUUAAUGGUGAUGACCUUAGAGAAAUUCCCACUGGACAUUAACUUAACCAAGUGGUUAAGUAGGUGUGAAGGUGCAUUUCACAAAGGCAAAGAUAAAAGACAUUGUAUGGUGAGAGUGCAUGCAAAUUGUGGAAAUAGAGAAGAAAGCUAGGAAACAUCAAGGAAAUGGAAGAAGAAACUUAUGGAGAUGGUGAUGGGUGGUCACGCCACUUGGUGGGUGGAAACUGCCGAGAUAAGUGCUAGGUCGCCACUUGAGAGUUUCAUUCUCUUCAAGAUAAGACCAAAAGGAAGAAGAGAUAAUACUCACUCAAGCUCUCACAAUAUUUGUGUAGAGUAACUUUUCUAUUUAAUUUCAACAUGUAAAAUACAAUGGGUAGGCCUCCUAUUAAUAGGUGAAGGAGCCUUGGAAAACAAGCAAGAGGGGUAGGAUGGGAAAAGGGAAAAAAUGGGCAGCCUUAAGGUUUGACUAAGUCAAACCCGCAUCCUAGGCUUGUCCUUCUAGAAACUAGGUCAAAUUGCCUUCCUAAAGGGUUAGGAACAAGCUAAAAUGAUACCUACACCCCCUAUUAUGCUAAAGACACCUUAUUCUAGCCUAUCUUUGCUAUUUGGACCCCUAAAGUGAACCCAAAUUAUUUACAAUUUGUUUUAUUGUUUAAGAAAACCAGCAGGAACAACAUCAGAUGUUCUGGUUUGUGUUCAUUUCUUCCUCUGGUGAGGUUUGCUAAAUCCUUGGUGAGGUCUUCACUUGAUUGUUUAGAUGACUUCUCAUAGUGUGCAUCCUUGGUCAUCUCCUUGUUGGCUUGGUUUGCAUCACUAUGACAAAUGUUGUCGAUAGCACAACACCUCUCAACUGAGAUGAUACUGACCUCAAUAUCCCAACUCAACAGGGGGCACUUGCUGCAAAAGACUUCUUCAGGGAUAUCCAAUGGUACGUGGAAAAGAGGUAUGUUACCUUUUUGUCAAACUCAAGUAUACUCGGAUCGCAGAGGCAACUAAGUCUCAACCUACUCUGCAACCAAAUGUCGUGCCCUAUGAAGGGCAUCAACUCGACAAGGCCCUGUUGUGAAACCCCCGCUACCUUUCACCACUGAUGACUCCCUAAAAUCUGUUAAGGAGUGCCUACUUGAGGAAGACGAAAAACUGCUAGAAGACAUCACUAACUUGGAGGGUACGAGAACUCUCGACACUUAGCCACUUUUUGAAACACAGAAAGAAGAAGUGGUCCCCUUACUCCGAAGGUGCCCUAAUUUAUAGGCAACGAGACUCAAACAAUUCAAAUGUCAGGAAACACCAUAUUCAUUAGAUUGUUUUGCAUCCAACAAUCAUAACAAAAAUUGAGUACUAAGGAAGAUUCAAAUUCAAUUUCCCACAGAAAACAAGGACAUUCUAAAGCUUAUUUCCUACAUCACAUCCAUGCAUCACCUCCAAGCACCCAUCAACACAUUUCCCCGGUAGACCCUCGGAUCAACAACUUUCAGUCAUAUAAACCACUCAAACCUCUUCAUGCUAAAGAAUUUUGAGCUUGGGGGGAAGUGUACGACAUGGAGCCGAGACCCUCUCGGACACUGACAACUAAACUACCUAAGCCUCCCCUCGACACCUUCAUGAAGAGUUUAAAAGAGGAUAAGAGUUAAAAUUGUACCUAGUCCUAGAACAUUAACAACAUAAAUUGUGCUAAUACAGGCCCACAAGCAUAAGGGUCCAACUCAUCCCUAUAAACAGGUUGAUGAACAUCUUACCAAUGUACGCAUUUUAAGACGUUUAUUACUCUCAACAACCAACGAUCAAUCCCUGACUUGAGUGUCAAAAUGUGUUUUUUCAAGUACCCCUUCCCGACCAAGAUUGAAUACCAACGACUAGAUUUAUCAAAAACAUAUAAAGCAAAAAGGACAAAUCCUUUCUGCCCUUGUGUAACCUUUUUAAAAUUUUUGCAAUGUUAAUGAUGGAUAGAUGACAGACUCAAGUUACUAUCAUAAGAGAAUCUUUAAAAAUACUUCAAAAAGUUAGUUUUUUCAAAAAAUCUCCUUUUUUUAGGAUAAUUUAAUAAUAUGUCAUUAUACAAGUUUAACGAAAAAAAGGAUUUAUGCUAUAUAGUUUUAUACCGGUUGGUCUAGAAACAUAAAUUAUGUCGAAUACUUGAUCAAGUUCUACUAGACAAACUAAUGCUGGAAAGUUACUAACAAAACAUUAUUUAGAAUUUUAUCACUUGUGACUAGAUAACUUGAGUAUUGUUUGAAGACUUAGUCACUUUUAACUAACAAUUAAGAGUAUUUUUGAAACGUAUUUACUUCUAGAUAAACAAUUCAGAAACAAUUCGAGUGUUGUUCCUAAUAAGACACGAGUAUUUAUUUGAAACACAUUAAAAAAGGAAAUAAUUUAAAAGAUGAUAAGAUUUUUCUUUCUUCAGUAAAGAAUGUGAUGGAAGAAGGUCAAUCUCAAGCCUAAGUUCAGGCCCAACAACUAGGUCAAUGACAAGAAAGAUUCAAGAAGACUAGGAUUCUGCUACUAAUGGCAAAUAAACUUUCCUAUACAUGUUUAAAAUGUCAUAAACCUAGUGUAGAGUAGACUUUAUUUUCUUGUCAAAGUAUAAUAAGAAUUUUACUUGUAUUUUUUUAAAUGUAAUUAGGUUGAAUUAUGGCAUCUAAAAAGCAACCUAAGUUAAAUUAGGGUUUCUAGAAACAACUAAUUUAAACCUUGACUGGUCCUUUAGACCUAAUUGGAGCACAUGAUACACACCAUGUCACACACUCCACGUGAGAUCAAAAUAGGCGCCCAAUUCAAACCAUUUUCCAUUUGAAUUUCCCACCUCUUUUAUAAUACAUGACCAGACCUCAAAACCUAUAAGUAAAGGUGCUUGGUUCAUGUUUUUCCAAGAUUAAUGAAUAUGUGAAAUUGCUGCCAACGUUGCUAGCCUUUCUCACUCCCUUGUCUUGCCUCUCUAGGAUAUACACUUUAAUCUCCUUCUUCACCUAUCUCAAGUUAUAUGGCCCAACCAAUCACUCUCCCUACCUAUCAUGCACCUUCAAGGAAACCAUAGCUCUAUAUGAGCCAUCCUUGUUCAUCUUUUCCAAUGAAGCUUUCGCCAAUCCUCUCCAAAAUCCAAGAAAAGAAUUUGGUCAUGAAGGCACAACAACAUUCCAUCAUUUAGUAUUUAGAGCCAUGGUUCUUCAAGAGCUAAGUGUGCCUUCUCUUUUUUUAAUUUUUGUGUUGCUUGAUUUUAAUUUGAGUGUAGUUUUAUAUUUUAAAUUUGAGCUUUGGUGCAUUUUUAUUUUUCCAGAUUUGAUUUCAUGCUUGUGUGCUAGUUCCAUACAAGUUCAUUUACAUUAAUUCCAUUGUGUCUUUGAAUUUUUCAAUUCUGUUUUUAAUUCCAGUGUAAGUUUCCUCUGUUUUACUGAUUUUGUGCUGGCUGAAAACAUUUAUGAAAAUUAAUUCCCUUGAUGAAAAAUUAUGAGAUUUUGUAUUUGAACAGUUUGAGGUGUUAAAAAAAAUUUAAAAAAGAAUUAUAGCAAAAUUAAAAAUACAAAAAAAAUGAUAAAUGAAAAACGAACAGAGUGCAAAGUUUUGACUCUGAAAAAAAAGUGAAGCGACAGUGAUUUUAAAAAUAUUAUCACAAUUAAUUAGCGCACUGUUUUGGUAAAUUUCCAGCGCCUAAUUCGAGACAAGACGUUGAGGUUUCUGUGGUUUAAAUUUCACAUUCAAAUUUGAAGUAUUUGGCUCAACAUAAAUUUUGAAAGUUACGCAAAUUUUACACAAAAUUCCAGUAGUGUUGUUUUUGGUUUUUUUUAUCCAAUUCUAGUACCAUUCUCUAGGUUUCAUUUUGAGUACUACAUUUUCUUGUGUUCCUUAAUUUUUUGUUUGUCAAUUUUAUUGAAUACUCUUUCAAGUCUUUUCAUAUAUCAAUUCCCUUUGUUGUCGUCCUAUUUUUUUAAAUUGAGUUUUGUUGCUUUAAACUUGUUUGACCUCUUUUUGGUGGAAGCAAGUUAAAAAGUGCUUUGGUAAGUAGAGGAGCUGAAAUUUUUGGUGAGAGCUAUAUCACUAAAGAGGUGCAGAUUUGAACAUUCAAAGUUGAAUAUACUAAGGAGGUAUAACAAGGGGCAAUAACAAGCUAGCAUAAAAAAAUACACAAAGGAGCUACAAAGUGAAGAAGUGCAUUAAAUAGGUUUUAAAAUUUUGUGCCUCAAAAUUUGUUGAUUUAAUUUCUUUGUAUUUAUUUGAGUUGUAGUUUUGCAAAACCUUGAAAAAUUAGUGGAUUAAUUUCAUCUUAGACGGUGAGUGUGUCUUUAAGGUUCCAAGUGUCAAGAAGCCUCACCUUAGGAAACUCCUAUUUUAAAGCUUUCUAGUUAGCAAUUUUCAAUUGUAUGUUUUAUUGCUUUGCAUUGUUUUCUUGCAUAAAACUUUUUUUUCAUCUUUGAUUGUGCUCUAAGUGAAUUACUUAGAGAAGGGUUUGUGAAAGUAUUGUGGAAUAGAAUCUAGCUAGGAAAGGCUUGGUACUUAAGUGAUCCAAGUGAUCCACCUCCCUUUCUUGGGAAUCUACCUAUGGUACUCCAUAUAUCUUUCUUUUGGUAAAUUUCUUCUAACACAUAACUUUCAACAUGUCUUCUCAUUCUUCUAGUCCAAGUUAAAGUGAUAGAAACUCCAUAAAAUAUCUUUUAAAACAAUUAGCCAAAGACUUUCAAUCAUUAUCACAUCGACAAUUGCAACAUGAGGCCAAAUCAUAGAAGAUAAAAAAGAAAGGGAUGCUCAUCUUACUAUUUUAGAAGAGGAGUUUAAAAUUGUUAAAGAAAAGGAUGAAUACAUAAGAAAACAAAAAGAUCUUCACAUGCAUCUUGUUCUAGGUUGAGUGACUCAUAUGCUGAGGAGAGUCUUAGAAUGAAUGAAUACUAUCAACCUCAACCUAGGAGAACUAGAAGAGAAAACUCAAAGGAGACUAGGCUAUAUUUACCUCAUUUCUAUGGAAAAGAAAAUGUUGAAACAUAUCUAGAUUGGGAGAUGAAGGUAGAACAACUUUUUGCUUGUCACCAUGUGAGUGAGGAGAGAAAAGUAUCCCUAGCCACCUUAAGUUUUCAAGGAAAUGCUAUGUAUUGGUGGACUGCCCUUGAGAGAGAGAUGCCUCCAUAAGGACCCUUCCAUUGAGUAUUGGAAUGAUCUUAGGGGAGUCUUGAGGCGCUGCCAUAUUCCCUCUUAUUACAAUAGGGAGUUAAUGGACAAGCUCUAAAGACUCCAACAAAAGAGCAUGAGUGUAGAAGAAUAUAGACAGAAAAUUGAUGAUAUUCCUAGACUUGAUGAUAUGCUUGAUGAAUUGCAUGGGUCCAUCAUAUUUUCCAAGAUUAAUCUUAAAAGUGGAUAUCACCAAAUAAGAAUCAAAGAAGGUGAUGAGUGGAAAACUGCUUUUAACAACAAAUUUUGCUAUAUGAGUGGUUAGUGAUGCCUUUUGGACUCACUAAUGCACCUAGCACUUUCAUAAGGCUUGUGAAUCAUGUCCUUAGGGAUUGCAUAGGUAAAUAGGUUAUUGAUGCCUUUUGGACUCACUAAUGCACCUAGCACUUUUCCUACACUAUCGUCCAUUAUAGGUUGUGGUUGAGGUGUAUUGAAUUCUUCAACUACGAAGGAAUGUCGGUAAGGUUUUUGCUAUGGUUGAUAAUAAUCUGUUUCAACUGCAAAUGAAUGUCAAUAAGGAUCAUGUUGUUCAUUGUUGUAAUUAGUGGCAGUUGAGAAUGUGGGCUCUAGAGGUGGUUUUUGUUGUGUGCGUAGAUUGUUUAAUAAUUGUGGCACUAACAAGAAAUAUAUUGAAUUGGCCAUGUACCAUUCCAUGUGUUCUCUACUGUGGAACAAUGGUCCAUGCAUUGGAUGACCAAUUAACGUUAGUUCGUGGCAGUUGUUACAUGUUGAUCCACUUUGCAUGUUUAGUCUGCCAAUUUUCGUCAGAUCGUUCCCGCAUAUCAAUUUUGUGUAGUUUAUCCAAGUUGUUAGGUGAGGUUAGGACCUCUUGAAACAUCCAAAUUGCAACCGAACUCUGUAGACUGAAGCCAUUCCACUGUUGCAAAACAAAUGAUAGGAGUGCAUGUUGUCCAAAGUUCAACAUCCCAUAUGCUUCUAGGGGGUGGAUGCCUCGAAGUCCUUGUAUGGAUUCCAUUUAAACUGCAGUAAGUCAUUCUUAUUAAAAUAUAUAAUGUGCAAUUGGAAUAAAUAUUAAUGUGGAUGCCUCUAAGUCCUUGAAUGAAUUCAAUUUAUGUAUUUCAUUUUAAAAUUUUAAAUGAAAUUGAAAUAAAUAUUUUUUCCAUUAUCUGAUUAGCUUGUAUGUGGUCAAUCGUAGACCUGUACCUAGUAGAUCAUUGUGAGAGGGAUAUUUCUGAAGUUAAGAACCCUGCCACCACUCCAUUUACAAACUAGGGGUACAAAAGCUGUUGUCUAGAAAAAAGGCGUGAUGUAUGGCAUGCGAUACCAUGCCCAUGAUUGCAUAAGCGAUGCAUGUCCUCCCAUUUUUGUUGUUGUGGCAUCUAUUGCCCUACACAAUUCCCUGUAAAACACUGCCAAACAAGCAAAACCCCAAAACUAUCGACUUGUUCUACGUAGGUUAGUUAGAAAUGCUAAGUACAUAAGAUGAACUUUGUUUCCUAUUUUAUCUAGCAUUAAAACCCCUCCAAUCAAACCUAGUAUGUACGCCCUACAAUGGGCGUAUAGUUGUUCUUUUUUUGUAUGUUGACCUAGUGGGAUCGUAUUUUCUAUGAGCCAUUUGAGUUUUACAUGUGAACCAAUGAGUGACUGACUUUUCACUGGUGCGACACCCAGAUAAGUAUCACACAUUACCUCCCAAUAAAACAUUGUUGGCCCAACAAUCAGUGCCUCAUCUACUCCGAGACCUAGUUGAAGUGAAAUGUCUUGUAAUUUAAUGGUACACUCGCCCGUUGGAAGGUGAAAUGUGUGAGUUUCAAGUCUCCACCUCUUAACCAACAAAGUUACUAAGUCAUGAUCCACUUAAUGUCUUAGUUUUUCAAUUUCACCAAAUCCUGCUUGUUCUAAGAUUGGAAUUGUCAAAGGAUGUGGCUCUGACAUUGAAUGACAAAUAGAAUCCAUAACAUCAUUAUUGGGGUCCUGCCCAAUUAAAUAAAUUAAUAUAACAUAAAAAGGUUACCUCAAAAAAUGAGUUUUUGAAAAUAAUUUAAAUGAACUUACCAUAGUAGUAAUGUAAGAAAACCCACACUUUUGUUGAUUCCACGACCACAUACUGCUCGACUAAAACUUAAUUUAUAUUAGAAAAAGGUCAGGAAAGUAUCAACAAGCAAUAUCUCUAAAAUAUCGUGAAUGGUUAAAUGUGGCGAAGUUAAAUUUAUAGCUCAAUAAUGUGUAACUUGUUCAGGAAAUAAUCUGGUUGAACAAUGCCUCGUGCUUUGUGUGGUUCAUUGUGGAUGGUUGAUUGAGUGAGAUUCAAUCUGGGAUGUUUCUUUUGGCUUGACACUCUACUUAAGAAUUUGUAGAUUGUUUAGAAAAUAAUGUGGGUGAACAGUGCCUUGUUCUUUUUGUAGUUCAUUGAGGAUGGUUGAUGAGGUGAGAUUUAAUUUGAGACGUUGCUUUUGGCUUGACACUAUGCUCAAGAAUCUGUGGAUUGUUCAGAAAAUAAUGUCGGUGAACAAUUCCUUGUUCUUUGUGUGGUUCCUUCAGGAUGGUUGAUGGGGUGAGAUUCAAUCUGAAACGUUGUUUUUGGGUUGACACUCUACUCAAGAAUUUGUGGAUUGUUCAGAAAAUAAUGUGGGUGAACAGUUCCUUGUUCCUUGUGUGGUUCCUUGAGGAUGGUUGAUGGGGUGAGAUUCAAUCUGAGACGUUGUUUUUUGGGUUGACACUCUACUCAAGAAUUUGUGGAUUGUUCAUAAAAUAAUGUGGGUGACCAGUGCCUCGUUCUUCGUGUGGUUCCUUGUGGAUGGUUGAUGGGGAGAGAUUCAAUCUGAGACGUUGCUUUUGGCUUGACACUCUACUAAAAAAUUUGUGGAUUUUUCAGAAAAUAAUGUCCGUUAACAAUGUAUCGUUCUUUGUGUGGUUCCUUGAGGAUGGUUGAUGGGGUGAGAUUCAAUCUGAGAUGUUGCUUUUGGCUUGACACUCUACUCAAGAAUUUGUGGAUUGUUCAGAAAGUAAUGUGGGUGAACAGUGCCUCGUUCUUUGUGUGGUUCCUUGAGGAUAAUUGAUGGGGUUAGAUUCAAUGUGGGAAGUUGGUUUUGACUUGACACUCUGCUCAAGAAUUUCUAGAUUGUUCAAAAUAUAAUGUGGGUGAACAGUUCCUUGUUCUUUGUGUGGUUCCUUGAGGAAGGUUGAUGGGGUGAGAUUCAAUUUGAGACGUUGCUUUUGGCUUGACACUUUGCUCAAGAAUUUGUGGAUUGUUUAGAAAAUAAUGUGGGUGAACAGUGCCUCAUUCUUUGUGUGGUUCCUUGUGGAUGGUUGAUGGGAUCAGAUUCAAUAUGUGAUGUUGCUUUUGGCUUAACACUCUACUAAAUAAUAUGUGGGAUGCUCAAAAAAUAAUCUGGAUGAAAAUUGUCUCAUGCUUUGUGUGGUUCAUUGAGGAUGGUUGAUGGGGUUAGAUUCAAUGUGGGACGUUGCUUUUGGCUUGACACUUUGCUCAAGAAUCUAUUAGAAAAUAUUGUGGAUGAAUAGUGCCUUGUUCUUUGUGUGGUUCCUUGUGGAUGGUUGAUGGGGUCAGAUUCUAUGUGGGACGUUGCUUUUGGCUUAUUAAUGUUUAGUUUUUGUUUAGUUGUUCCUUCGUUUCAUUUAAUGGGUAUGAACUUUUUGUGAUUGUGUUUUAAUGAAUUAAUGCUUUAAAAAAUUAUCAUUGUUGGAAUAAAACUCAUACAAUAAGAAACAUACAACACUCAAUCGUAAUGCAACACUAAAUCAUAAUAAAACAAAAGCACAAACGAUGAAGAAGGUAACAACGAGGAACAUACACUCACUUGAUCCUUAAAGAGUCGUUCAAUUUUUUUUCAAUGUCCUGCGACGUUUUGGAAGUAAAAUGAUUCCCUAAAUCAUCAUGUUGCUGGGUAAAUGCCAUAAGUUCAAACCUUGCACAAGGUUUAUAUCUUUUUCCAAAACCAACGUCACAUUAUAUGUCGUCAUCAUCUUCAAUAUGGACACAUCGAUAUGAAUUCCUAAUUUCAUUCAUAUACACUAGACAUUAAUAAAAUAAAUCAACAUAAUAUGACUUGCCAUAAUCUGGGACAAACAAAUGUAGAAUGAGGUUUCUAAGAACAGAUAGGGGCAUGAAUUGAUAAACCUCAACUGAAGCAGUUGAUUGAUUGACAAAGAUGGUCGAGUGAAGCUCAUUAGUGAUGAUUUUACCGUUGCAAUGCACCAAAGCCAUGAUACUUGACGAAAUCAUUUUGUGAUAUUUAUAAACAUGUGGCUAUUGGUUUGAUGUUUCGUGUAUGUGUAGGUAAUAGUGUUGAUAAGAAAUGACAUCAAUUGUCAAAGCAAGUUCUGACAUAUUUAUUAUACACUAUUCAAUAUAGGAUUCUUUUUAAUUGUGCAUAUGGGGAUAUGUAGGUGAUGUAAUAAUGGUUUUCCAUUGAAUUCCUUUAUACGAACCGAUAAUGAUGUAUGAACCCAUAGGAUUUUGUAAACCCCUGUUGGAUUAAUUCCUUUCACUUAGUAUAUUAUUUAUGAAUUGAAUGGAAAAAAUUUCGUGAUCCAAUUGUACUUAUAAGAACUCUUCGUGUUUCUAAAAUGCCCCUUAAUUAGUUUUUUUUACUGGCAUUCAUACAUAGUGCUUACAUUUUAGGCCUGGAUGAGGCCUAGUCGUAGAGGGACACAUGAAUAUUUAAAUUCACUACAAUUUUAUAAAUAUUUAAAAUUUAUUCUCUCCAUUUUUAAUUAAAAUUUUCAAAACAUUUUUUACUUAUGAAAAUUUUAAAAAUUAUUUUAUUUUAUUUUAUUUUUUCUUAAAUUUAUUUAUUUUUUCUUUUCCAUUCACUCCAGACAAAGAAAUAAAAAAUUCUAAAAACUCCAUCCCCAAAUUCAUUUAUUGCACAAUUAAUUUUGGUUGAACAUUCAUACGCCAAAGUCGAAAAUUGGAUACCAGAUUUUGAGCAUCCACUGGAAAACCAAAAUCUUUUUCACUACAAUACCAGAAAUAAGAAAUAAAAAUAAAAAGUUGUAACAAAAAAUUUGGCCCAUAGUAAUGAAUUUCAAAGAACAUUCAGUUACCGUAUAAUUAAUUUUAGAUGAACAUUUAUAUGCCAAAGUCGAAAUUAUAUUUUUCACAAACUGGAUUUUGAUAAUCCUCUGAACGAUUAUUUUAUGCUUGUGUUCAUUAUCAUAAAAAAAUACUUUUAGAAUUCAGUUCUCGAAAACAAAAUUCUAAGAGGAAAUUUUUUCCGCAAAUAGAAAUGAUGGUAAGAAUUCAUUUUCCUAAAAACCGAAUUCUCACCAAUUGAGUGCUAGUUGAAAAAAUAAAAGAGUGGUGGUAGUUGGGAAAAUAAAAAGAAAAGAGUGCUAGUAGGGGAUUUAAUGUUAGUGUUAUUUGAGGAAAAAAAAAAAAAAAAAGUCUCCAAGCUACCUAAACCAAGUGUUUCUCUCUUCCCCUAGCAGUACCAAAAUCAGCACAAGGAAGCAAUAUGGGGUUUGGAGUUUCAGUCUCUGAGAAAGUAAACACUGAGAGGGUGCGUGAACUCAAAGAAUUUGAUGACACAAAAGCAGGUGUUAAAGGCCUUGUUGAUCAAGGGAUCACAAAAAUCCCAAGAAUUUUUCAUCAUCCACCUGAUGAACAUGUGAAGGUCUCAACUUCAGGCGGAGAAGCAGACAAUAUUCCUGUUAUAGACCUUGCAGAAGAUGACAAGGAUCCAAGUUUACGCCAAGGAGUUAUUGACAGAAUAAGGGAAGCAUCUGAGAAAUGGGGCUUUUUUCAAGUGGUCAACCAUGGCAUCCCUGUGACUGUUCUAGAGGACUUGAAAGAUGGGGUGUGCAGGUUUUAUGAACAAGAUACUGAAGUGAAAAAGGAUCUAUAUACCCGGGACCAGAUGAAACCUUUUUUGUAUAAUAGCAAUUUUGAUAUCUACUCUUCACCAGCACUCAAUUGGAGGGACACUUUCUUUUGUUAUCUGGCUCCUAAUCCUCCCAAACCUCAAGACUUGCCAGUAGUAUGCAGGUAAGUUUUUGUAUGUACAGUGCCUUGAGUUUUAUGCCACUUAGAUCAAGUAUGUUAAGCAAUUCAAUUAAAAUGCAUUGAUAUUAUGAAGGUUUUCAUACAAUAAGGCAAGAUGGUUGUACUUUUUGAUUAUUUUAAGAUAAUUUAUAGGAUGAAAGUUGAGGUCAUAUUUAGCUUUAUAAGUUUAUACUCAUAUGAAGUUAAUAUUCAUAAAGGGUGUGGAAUGUUCCUGAAUAAGAUUCAACCUUCAAGUAGCACAGUAGGCUAUGAAUUGUUAUGAACAAAGGCAUAAAUUGUUAUGAACAAAGAUACAAAGAGGAAGAAAAUCUCAAGUUAAACUUUCCAUUUCAACCAUAAGUCAUUUAAUUAAUUGCUAACUGAUUACAUCUUAUAGGGAUAUACUUCUGGAAUAUGGGACAUGUGUGAUGAAACUUGGAAUUGCACUAUUUGAAUUACUAUCAGAAUCUCUAGGGCUGCAUCCAAACCAUUUAAAAGACAUGGAUUGUGCUAAAGGGCUUAUUUCUCUUUGCCAUUACUACCCUGCCUGCCCUGAACCAGAAUUAACACUGGGAACCACCAAGCAUUCUGAUAAUUGUUUCCUCACAGUGCUCCUCCAGGAUCAUAUUGGUGGUCUUCAGGUUCUUUACCAGAACACAUGGAUUGAUAUAGCCCCAGAACCUGGGGCUCUUGUAGUUAACAUUGGUGAUCUUCUUCAGGCAAGUUCUCUAUUGUUAGAGUAAAUUACACUAAUUACUCCUGAAGUUUUGUGAAAAAUUAGUUAAACUUUUCCUUAUCUGUUACAUUAUUGGAGAACUCAGUGUAAUGUUCUUCAAACAACCAAUGGAGUUAGUAUAGUACUAAAAGAAACUAAGAUAAGUAAUUAGUAUAGUUUACCCUUUUCUUUUAUUCUGCCUUCAAAGCUACUAAAAUAUUUCAUUAUACUUUUCUUGCAAGUGAAAUUUUAAAAUUCACAAAAAUAAAUCAGCAAAAAAGACUUAUUUCUAGCAAACUUUUAUAGAAAAUAUGUUAGAAAAGUCAUGGCCAAUAUAGCUGUAUCAUGAGAGUCCUUAUAUGUUGAUAACUCAACAUUGAAUUGUAAAGUAGAAGAAGAUUAAUCUUUUAUUGAAAUGUCAGUUAUAAAGAAAAUGGAGAAAUUCUGAAAGAUAGUAAAUUUGUAAUAAUAAUUUUACUGGGGAAAAAGCAAAAGCCUGAUACACUUGACAAGUUCUUAUGAUACAUACAUGAAUUUAAAUGAGUGUGACACAUUAUUGUUUUUUGUUUUCUUGAAGUGCAGCUUAUAACAAAUGACAGAUUCAGGAGUGUAGAACAUAGAGUAGUGGCAAAUGUGACAGGUCCAAGAAUAUCUGUUGCAUGCUUUUUCAGCGAAGGUCUUAAAUCAUCAGGGAAACUCUAUGGACCUAUAAAAGAGUUGUUAUCAGAAGACAAUCCUCCCAAAUACAGAGAAACCACUGUUGAGGAAUAUGUGCGCUACUUCAAUGAAAAAGGCCUUGAUGGGACCUCUGCUCUUCAUCAUUUCAGGAUUUGAGUGGGAUUGAUGUGGCUAAAUUAGCACAAUAAAUGCCUUAGAAAUUGAAACAUUUAUGAAGCUCAAUAAGAUUAAGAAUCUUAUUAUCUUAUUCAAGGACUGUAAUUCUGUAGUGUCACUUGUCUUGUUAUUUUGGCUCAUAAGAGAAAGAGAAAUCAUAAUUAAAAUUUAUUAGAAUUUAUAAAACUGUAUGAACUUUCAUACCAACACUCAUGAUUUUGUGACUUUUCAUAAUUGCUCUUCUUUAGAUGUCUUAUGUGCAUAGAAUCCAGAGAAUGAAAAUGGGAACGUCUUAGUUUAUUCGCCCUAAAUGAAAAACUGAAAUUCAAAUAAAACCAUUUUCGCUUACUCCUCCAUCUUGAAGCUUGCAUAGUUGAUUACAGAAUUUAUGCACAGGUAGCCUCAAUCCAAGCAUGUUUUAGCACAUUUUGACGAGUUUCUUUAUAGUAUUUAUAUAAAAAAGAAUAAAAUUUAAAUUAAAUUUACUUGUAAGUUAAAAAAUAAAAAUUUAAAGAAAUCACGUAAGAUAAUUUUACAAAUUAAUAUGUACAUAAGUUAAUUUUAAUUUAGGCAAAAGUCAAUGUUACUUUUUUAAAGUUAUAGAAAAUUUAUCGAGACAUAUCUUUAUCAAGAGCCCUCUAAUCUCAGUGAUGGCUCAACCAGUGAACUAAAUCCAAAUUACCUCAUAGGCAUCCAUCCAUGAUGAUCCUAUUGUUUGAGGUGGUGUUGCAUAAAAACUUAGAUGUGCACGUGAAAAAUGGGGAUUCUUUCAGGUCAUAAAGUAUGACAUUCCAACUCAAUUUUUGGAUAUGAUGUAAUGGUAUGUAACAGGAUACUAACACGAUUCAUAUUCAGACAUCUUGAUACAUUUUUCUUUUAUCGGUAAAGAAUAAAUAAAAUAAAAUGAGAUAUUUUAGGGGUGUCUCAACCCUUAUACAAAAAAUCCAAAACAAGCUUUCUAGUACCCAACCAACUAAGGAUCCAACAUAUACUACACUACAAUAAUCAAAAUAAUAUACCAGAUCAAGAUAUAGAAACCUAACAAAUACAAUUAGAACAACCCACCAAAGAGAUCACAUCCUCAAUACAGGACAUACAUCCAACAACUAAACAAGAUGUUUGCCAGCAGGCUGAAGUGUGCCACAUAACUAUUCUUGUCGGUUGACUCGAUUGCCCUCGUGCCUCUAACGACGAUCCCACGCUCGAUUCUCUCUGCCUUGGUUCGUGCAUUCCUUUGAUCGAAACACUCUAUACCUGCAAAGACAAAGGGGCGCCCUAGAGGCUGUUUGCACUCCGACGCUCAAGUCAAUACUGGGGCAAAGAAACAGAAUGUGUGUAAUAGUUUUAGUCUCAAGAACUGCGUACCUUGUGGGUUUUCUUACUACCCUUUAUAUAGUCUAGGGUUUUCGUUGUUUUCGUUACCCGCAUUUAGGGUUUCUGGAGGAAUGCCCUUGCGCCGCUAUUACCCAAUCUUAGGGCAAUCUAGCGCGUAAGGCUCCCUUACUGGAGUGCAACCUCUAACAGAAUGACCACCUGGUUACCUACUUGUGCACCUAAUCUCUGGGGCCAUCCGUUCUGGGGGUGCCUUGAUUAUCACGUGCCAUACAUGCAGCCUCCCUUGGAAACCCUAACCCUAACGGGCAUUCGUGACUUCCAAGGCUCUUUACUCGUGCUGCGCCCAAUGGCGCCAUCCACACCACAUGCAUGGGCACCUUGUGGCUUAGGCUUCCCCCUACUCUGGAUGGUAUUACUGAUAACUGAUGUGUCUUCUGGGACCCACCUUUCGUGGUCCAAAUCAGUUGUUUGAGUCGCCGAUGCCGAUGUCACAUUGGCCUCACUCUGUUGCUGAGGACACAUCGGCACACCCUGGUGAUCGAUAUCCGACUACUAGUCGGCACCCUGGCUCGUGCCGCUUGUGAGACACCGGCUCAUGCCGCUUGUGGGACCCAGCUUACGUGGCCCACCAUUACUAGCAGUCAACGAUGUUCGAGGACUGGUCGGUACAAUAACCAAGUGCCAAACUCGACAAACCGAUCCUGCAAGAAGGAAACGUAAACUAGAAAUAACCCACGAAAGAUAUCACACCCUCAAUACAGGACAUAACAUCCAACAACUAAGCAAGAUCUUUGCAGUAGGCUGAAGUGCGCCAAAUAACCAAGUGCCAAUAUAAACAAACUGAUCUUGCAAGGAGGAUACAUAAACCAUAAAUAACCUACAAAAAGAACACAACAACUUCCCAAUCUUGACAGAUCAGUAACCAUAAACACUACAUAUCAAUCUCUCAAAGCUCAUACACCAUAAAGAUUCGAACACCAGACCGAAAAUCAUAAAUCAAAUACACUUUCCUUUACCGCAGCCCAAGAACAAAAUCAUCAACCCGACCCUGCCAGGUAGAAAAAAACCAAGAAAACCUGCACAAACACACCAUACCUUCCAAACCUGGAUAAAAACAUUAAACAAGAAACACCAAAUAUGAAUCUUUCAAAUACCUCAUACAACAUUGAGGUUCCAAACACCAGUCUGAGUAAGAAAAAUCUGCCAAACUUUCCUUUACUGUGACUCAAGACCAAGUCUUCCUUUGUAUCAUAGUAAAAACCUCUACUAGGUCUACACACCCAUUCUAAAAAACAACCAUAUUCUUAUGAUUCCAAAAUUCACUUAAAAUACCUACCCAAAUACCCCCAAACACCUAAUAAUAGCAUGUUUCAAACCUAUAGGUUUAAACAUCUUAAAAGACAUUUGUCCAUCACAAUCUAAAGCCAAAGAAGACCCCAACCACUCAAGACACAUUCCCCAAAUUCUUCAAGAGACCCUACACUCAAAAAAUAGAUGCCUUACCGUCUCUUCCUCCACACCACAAAAAGGACACCGAGCACACACCAUAGGUAUACCACCUCACAAGAGAUUGUCCUUAGUGGCUAUCGCAUUACAUAACACCCUCCAAGCCGUAAAUUGUAACGUUGGUACUAUCUUUAACGUCCUGAACUCCGCGAAGGGGUCCCCAAUCACUUUAGACUCCUCCCCCAAGAGAAUAUUAUAGGCUGCCUUCACAGAGAAGUCUGUAGAUUCUACAUCCCUCCAAAGCCAUUUAUCAAUCGUAUUUUCACCCUCUCUUAUUAACCUCUUGUUAUCCAAUACUUGUAAUAAAAGAUCAGCCAGACUAGAUUCCAAUACAAAGAGAUUCCUUCUCCAACUCAACUUCCACGAACAACUAUUAUUGUUCCAAACCCCAACUUGUGAUAUAGUGCGAUCACUAUCUAAAGAUAACGAGAAAAGUCUAGGGAACUUAUGCAUUAAAGAAACAUUGUCCACCCAUUUAUCCUCACAGAACCUAAUUUCUUUUCCAUCCCCUACUUCACACCAACCUAUGUCUUCAAAGUCAUUACCCCACUCCUCUAAAUUCCAAACUUUUCUAAUGUCCCUCCAAAUAGCGAUUUCUUACAAUUAUGAAUUUGGGACCUUAACCCCUUUCACCCACCAUACUUAAAGUCUAGAAUAUCCUUCCAUAAACCUUUCUUUUCAUACUUAAGUCUCCAAAUCCAUUUCCCCAUAAGAGCCAAGUUAAAUUUUCUUAUAUCAAUAACCCCUAAUCCACCUUUGUCUUUCAACUCACACACCUUAUCCCACGCCACCCAAGCAAUUUUCCUGUUCUUUGAGCCCCAAUCCCAAAAAAAACUCUUUUGUAUCCUUUUCACUUUCUUCACCACAUUAGUUGGCAUACAAAAUAAGGAGACAUAAAAUAACGGUAAGGAUGUAAGCACCAAUUUGAUAAGGCAUAAUCUGCCAGCCGAGGGAUUUCCCUUUCCAAGAGCUUAACCUACUUCGUAACUUAUCGAGCACCCCUUCCCAAAAAACACACCUCUUAUGGUUCCUGCCUACUGUUAUCCCCAAAUAACUAAAAGGAGCCUUUAUAAUAUCACAAUUAAGAAUAGAGGCAAAAUGUAAUCUCUAAACUAUAGAAUAAAAUUACAUUAUUUUUUUUAUAUAUAAAAGCUUUCAUGUUAAGUAUCACUAUGCAACUUGACAUCUCAGCUAGGCUAAUACCUCAAGUAACAACAAUCAUUUGUCAUCACAUGAAAAAAUAUUAAAAAAAGAAAAAAUAAAGAAAAUACAAAAAAAUAUGGAGGGACUAGACAAAAACUCAUAUGUUAACAAAAACGAUACAUAGGUAGACUAUACCUAUUCAUAAAGAAUUCUAAAAACAGGCUAGAUGGAAGCCUAUUAUACCAAUGGAACGAUUCUCUAUGAAUAAAUCCUAGAUUAUCCAACUUAUCGACACACACAUUCCCUUCAGAUAAAAUAUGAGUAACUUUAAACCUGAUUUUCCCUUCAUGAAAAAUAUGAAUAACCCUAAACCCGAUUUUCCCACAAUAAUUAAGACAAGUAUUCCAUCGAUUAUCAAGCAUCCACAGAACAUUAGUUCUAGCAGUAAAUGCAGCACAAACCAAGUAGAAUCACAUUCAAGCCAAACAUUAGUAAACCUUAUCUUUUGAGCUUCCUCCAUAGCAUGUAUAACUCCAUAAAACUCAGCAACCAUAGCAGUUUGAACUUUAAGAAACGUAGAGAAAGCACCAAUAAACUCCCUCAUACUCGCACAAAAAAUACCUCCAUAAGUAGCAAGACCAGGAUUUCCUCUUGAGCCCCAUCAGUGUUAAUUUUAACCCAGCCUCUCAUCUAAUAGGAAGAGGACGAAGAACUUUACCAGUACGAGUAUUAAGACCAAAAAUCUUAAUCACGUUGAAAUCCAACAUAUCAUUCUUCAUUGAAGCUUUAGACGAAUUUCCCACUAGACAAGUUAAAUCUUUAGUUAUCGAAAUAGCCCAAGAAACAUCAAUUUUAUCCUAAAAUUUAGCUUAAUUCCUCAUACGCCAUAUCAUCCAAAUAGAAAAUUUUAUCACAGCAAGCUUAAUGAAUUUAACCAAAGGACUACCAUCAUUCUUAAUAAAAGAAAGAAGAUAAUCCUUAUUAGAGAAAUGAGAAGUAAAAAAAACUUUCGAACUCAACUCCAAAUAUGAAAAGCGUUAGAACAUUCAAAAAAUAAAUGUUGAAUAGAUUCUUCGUGCUUUUCACAAAGCGUACACAUAGAACAUAAAUGCAAACUUUUAUUCUGAACAUGCUGAUCUGUAGGAAGUCACCCAUGAAAAAAAUUCUAUAGUACUAGAGUUUUGGAAGGUGGAAUAGAUGAAAACCAAAUGAAUUUACCCCAACCACAGGGAACUCCUGGUUCCAAGAAAAAAAUCAUAACCUAUUUAAGAGUGAAAUAACCAAACUCAUCUAUAAUCCAAUUAGGAAUAUCCUGUUCCUCCCUAACCAUUAUAUGAUUAAAAAAUGAGGCAUCUGCUGUAAAGACAAUGGAAUAUUCAAAUCACAAUCUAUCCAAAACUUAGAGACUGUAUCUGGAAUGUUAACACCAUCAGAUAACCCUUCAAUAUUUGUUAAAGAAUUAGAAGAACACCAUUUAUCAUUCCAGAAAUGAAUAAAAGUAUCUAUAGCAAUAAUCCAAGAAGUAUAAUCAAGUAUAGUAGAAUAAAACUGCCUAAUUCCAGGCUAAAGAGAAGAGGAUCUAUAAACUAUUCUAAACUCGUAUUUUGAUUUAAGAACCCUAACUUUCAGGAGAAAAGACCAAGGUCUGUUGCUAUAAGCAAAGUUCCAAGCAAGCUUAAGAAGAUAUGCAUUAUUUUCAUGACGAAGAUUACUAAUCUUCAAACCUUCAUUCUCAAGAGGAGAACAAAUCGUAUCCCAAUUAACGGUAACUAUGCCUUUUUCAGAAUAUCAUCAAUCCAAAUAAAAUUUUGACACCACUACUCAACUUGCUUAAGAAGUGAAACAAACCAUUUAUACAUAUUAAAGCUAUAAGCUAGAAAUUCAGUAACAUCAUAUUGACCAACUGAAUCUGGCCCAUCAUGCUAAGAGAUUUACCUUUCCAAGAUGCUAGCUUCCAUAUGACUUUAUCAUCCAAAGGUUGAAGAAAUCGACACUUUGGAGCAUCAACAAAGACAGACACUCCAAAAUAAUUGAAAGGCAAACAAUCAUGACUAUAAGAAAGAAUACGUUGAAUUUUGGUGACAAAUCUUGUAGAAUUAUCCAUGGUGAAAAAACUACUCUUAGAAUUAUUAACAUAUUGAACAGAAAAAUCAUCAUAUGUUUUAAGAAAAAUACUCAAAUUUCUAAGAGACUUAUUAUCCCCCUACAGAAAACAAAUAUAUCAUCAACAUACAAAAUAUGAGAGGAAGUGAGAUAACCUUACGGACUAGCCAUAUGUAGAAUUUUCUUAUCAUUCACAAGUGUAGAGAUACCUCUACCAAGAACUUCCUCUCCAAGACAAAAAAAGUAAAGGAGACCCACCAAACUGCAUCUCUACUACAAGGGAAAAAAACUCACCAAACUGCCAUUUAUUCUGAUAGAAAACAUAGUUGAAAGGAGAAUUGUAUGAAUCCAACCGGCAAUCAAGGGGUGAAAACAAAAGGUGUCAAAACUAAUAAUAAAAACUUCCAACUCAAAGUGUCAAAGGCUUUAUGAAUAUCAACUUUGUAAGCCGCAUUACCUCAUCUAACCUUUUUAGAAAACAUGUUAAUAGCUUCAAAAGCAAUACCAAUGCAAUCAUAUUGGUGGUCUUCAAGUUCUUUACCAGAACACAUGGAUUGAUAUAGCCCCAAAACUUGGGGCUGUUGUAGUUAAGAUUGGUGAUUUUCUUCAGGCAAGUUCUUUAUUGUUAGAGUAAAUUACACUAAUUACUCCAGAAGUUUUUGUCAAAAAUUACAUAAACUUUUUCAAUAUCUGUUAGAUUAUUCAGAGUGUAAUGUUCUUCAAACAACCAAUGGAGUUAGUAUAGUAGUAAAAGAAACUAAGAUAAGUAAUUAGUAUAAUUUACCCUUUUCUUUUAUUCUACCUUCCAAGCUACUAAAAUAUUUCAUAUUUCAUGAUACUUUUCUUGCAAGUGAAAUUUUAAAAUUCACAAAAACCAAAAUCAGCAAAAAAAAUUUAUUUCUAGCAAACUUUUAUAGAAAAUGUUAGAAAAGUCAUGGGCCAUAUAGUUGUAUCACGAGAGUCCUCAUAGGUUGAUAACUCAACAUUGAAUUGUUCCAAAUUAUAACCGUUAAAAAUAGAAGAAGAAAUAAUCUUUUAUUGAAAUGUAAGUUAUCUGAGAAAAUUGAGAAAUUUUGAAAGAUAGUAAAUUUGUAAUAAUAUUUUUACUAGGGAAAAAGCAAAACCCUGAAACUUGACAAGUUCUUAUGAUAUGUACAUGAAUUUAAAUGAGUGUGACAUUAUUAUUUUUUUCUUCUUAAGUGCAGCUUAUAACAAAUGACAAGUUCAAGAGUGUAGAACAUAGAGUAGUGGCAAAUGUGACAGGUCCAAGAAUAUCUGUUGCAUGCUUUUUCAGUGAAGGUCUUAGAUCACCAGGGAAACUCUAUGGACCUAUAAAAGAAUUAAAGCAUCACAUCAGACAAGGAAUAUUGAUCUUCAUUUACUGUAAUAUGGUAUCAGAGCCAUUUUCGAGCCUAUCCUAACGAGUAUUUGUUGGGUUUAGCAGGCCACCCGCUAUCGGGCCGUUAUCGGACCACCCAUAACAUAUAUCUCCACGCACGAGUUGGUAGCCUCGGUGUGAGGGGGGUGUGUUGGAGAUCUCACAUCGACUAGAGAUUAGAGUCUUUCAUAGUAUAUAAAUGGGUGCAAACCUCACCUCAUUGAGCCGGUUUUAUGAGGUUGAGUUAGGCUUAAAACCCAUUUCUUAACAUGGUAUCAGAGUCAUUUCGAUCCUAUCCUAUACUAUCCCACGCACGAGCUUCUAUCUAUCACUCUCGGCGUGAGGGGAGUGUGAUGGAGAUCCCACAUCAACUAGAAAUUAGAGCCUUUCAUUGUAUAUAAGUGGGUGCAAACCUCAACCUCAUGAGCCGGUUUUAUGGGGUUGAGUUAAGCUUAAAGUCUACUUCGUAAUAUGGUAUCAGAGCUCUUCGAAUGAAGAGUUCUGCUGCGCUUCUCUCUGAUUUUUAUUUCCCUCUUUGUUGUUCUUGGUUAUUUUUUUCUGUUCUCUUUCAAAAUCUUGAUUGGUUUUAAAAAUCUUUUAGGAAAUGUUUAAUGAAAACCCUAGUCUUCAUAGUCUUAAUAGUAGUCACACUAUUACAUGCAAUUUUUGUGGUAAAUAUGGUCAUAAUGAGGUUGUUUGUUUUCGCAAAGUGGGUUUUCGUUCUGGUAAUGUUAAAACCUCAAAGUUUUCUUUUACUAGAAAAGUCUGCACUUUUUGUAAUCGUCUUGGCUACACUGUCGACACCUGUUAUAAAAAGCAUGGGUUCACUCCUGGCUACAAAUUCACCAAUUGGACAUCCCAAGCCAAUAAUAUGAUUACUACUAACACUUUUUCUGAGCUUUUUCCUAAAGAACAGGAUGUAAAGAGGAUUCAACUUAGAUCACAACAGUGCCAAUUCCUUACCAACAUUUUGCGUCAGCAAAACCUUGAGGAUCAUGCCCCUCACAGUCAAAUUAAUCAAGUCGGCACCAUCUCUACGAAUGAAAUCCCCAAUACUGAGCAUUCUUCAACAGGUAAGUUUCUCUCUUCACUAUCUUCUAUAAAAGAAUCUUGGAUUAUUGAUUCUGGUGCCACUGAUCAUGUUUGUCAAAAUUUGAACAUUUUUACUACUUAUACUAAAAUUAAACCUGUCUUAAUUAGUUUUGCAAAUGGCCAAACUGUUUAUGCUACAUAUUCUGGUUUAGUACGUUUUUCUGAUAAGUUUUAUUUGUUUGAUGUGUUAUACGUGCCUCAUUUUCAAUUAAACUUAAUAUAUGUUUCUAAACUCACACACCAACUUAAAUGCACUUUAACUUUCACUUCAACCCAUUGCAUUAUACAAGACAAUCUCACCCAAGAGAGGAUUGGUACAGUUAAAGCCACCGCUGGCUUGUACCUUGUCACUACCUUGCCUGCUUCUAGUCGUUCUAAACCGCAUUGUUUUGCUCCUUUUAUUAAUUUUAAUAUCACAGACAAAACACUAUGGCAUUAUAGACUAGGACACCCUUCACAUGAAAGAUUACAUGUCUUAAGCAAACAAUACUCUUUUAUUACUGUUGAUACUCAUCAUGUAUGUGACACUUGUAGUCGUGCAAAACAGAGAAAACUUCCUUUCACUUUAAGUAAUACUGUUACCUCUGCUAUUUUUUAUCUUGUACACUUUGNNNNNNNNNNNNNNNNNNNNNNNNNNNNNNNNNNNNNNNNNNNNNNNNNNNNNNNNNNNNNNNNNNNNNNNNNNNNNNNNNNNNNNNNNNNNNNNNNNNNCCAUGUUCCAUAAUUUCUGUGCAAGGUUUUCAUUAUUUCUUUACUAUUGUUGAUGAUUACUCGCGUUAUACUUGGGUUAUUCUGCUGCAUAACAAAUCUGAAGUGCGUCAGCACAUCAUUAACUUCACUGUUUUCGUUCAAAAUCAUUUCAAAACUAAUAUCAAAACGAUUCGUACUGACAAUGAUGUUGAGUUUGCUAUGUCAAAUUUUUAUGCUUCAAAGGGAAUUAUACAUCAAAAAUCUUGUGUUGAAACACCACAACAUAAUGGCAUUGUCGAACGUAAACAUCAACACAUACUAAAUGUAACCCGAGCUUUACUUUUUCAAGCAAAUCUUCCUCCUAUUUUUUGGGAAUUUGCUGUAAAUCAUGUUGUUUUCAUAAUAAAUGUUAUUCCUACUCCAUUACUUAAUAACAUCACUCCUCAUGAAAAGUUGUUUGGAAAACCAUAUGACAUUUCCUUUCUAAAAGUGUUUGGUUGUCUCUGUUAUGCUAGUACCAUUACUGCACAUAGGAAAAAAUUAGAUGAUAGAUCUAUCAAAGGUAUUUUUCUUGGUCUACCGCAAAUACAAAAGGUUAUAUUAUCUUAAAUUUAAAGUUUCAUAGCAUAGAGAUAUCAAGACAUGUAAUCUUUCAUGAAAACCACUUUCCAUAUAAAUUGGACAGUGGCUUGCCUAAGGACCCUAACACUUUAUCUCUCCCUAUUUCUAAUGCAUAUAAUUCAGCUUUUGAUUUUUUUUUCUGAUACUGCACCUCCUGUCGAGCCAUGUACUCCUGCACCCAAUACUGUCCCUCCACCAGCCUCAUUAUCCUAUGAUCUUCCAACAAAUAGUGCGUCUGCUCCUGCAUCCAACAUUGCACCUCCAUCAGAAUUAUCACCGCCUACAUCUCCAGGAAGAAUCUCACCCCCAUUUCCCAGAAGAUCAGCUCGUCCUCACUGACAACCUGCCUAUCUUGCAGAUUUCCACACUGCAACCAACACUGUAAGUAGUAGAUAUCCUAUUCAUAAUUACUUGUCUUACAAUUCCUUAUCUUCCAAUUUUAGAAAUGUUAUUUCCUCUAUCAAUUCUCAUCCUGAACCUCGGACAUAUAACGAAGCGUCCAAACAUGCUUAUUGGCAAUCUGCCAUGCAAGAUGAGCUUCAAGCUCUUGCUGNNNNNNNNNNNNNNNNNNNNNNNNNNNNNNNNNNNNNNNNNNNNNNNNNNNNNNNNNNNNNNNNNNNNNNNNNNNNNNNNNNNNNNNNNNNNNNNNNNNNACCCCUCUCCCUCCAAGAAAGAAAACUAUUGGUUGUAAAUGGGUAUAUAAAAUCAAAUACCAUUCUGAUGGCACUGUUGAGCGCCACUAAGCUAGAGUUGUUGCCAAAGGGUUCACCCAACUUGAAGGACUUGAUUUCUUAGACACUUUUGCACCUGUUGCUAAACUCACUACCCUCUGCCUUCUCCUUGCUAUUGCCACUACCAAAAAUUGGAUUUGAAAACAACUUGAUGUCAAUAAUGCAUUUCUUCAUGGUGAUCUCCAUGAAGAGGUAUACAUGACCCCCCCACCUGGCCUCUCUCUUCCUUCUCCCAAGCAUGUUUGCAAGCUUCAACGGUCUUUGUAUGGCCUUCGUCAAGCUGGUCGCCAAUGGUACUCCAAACUUCCUACUUUUCUUUUAUCAAAUAAUUACUCUAUUUCUGUUGUUGAUCACUAUCUUUUUCUUAAAUAUAAUAAUGAUAAACUCACUGUUAUUCUUGUUUAUGUUGAUGACUUAGUCUUAACUGGUGAUGACACAGAGGAAAUCAAUACAAUUACUGCAUCCCUUCACCAUCACUUCAAGAUAAAAAAAUUUAGAUAAUCUCACUUACUUUUUGGGACUGGAAAUUGCUCGCAACAGUACUGGUCUUCAUUUAAGUCAACGCAAGUAUACUCUUGAUCUCCUUCAAGAAACUGGCAUGCUUGACUCUGCACCUGUGGCCACUCCUAUGACUCACACCUCCCGUCUCUCUCCCGACCAAGGCUCACCUCUCGAUACUGAUGCCACUUCCCAAUACAGAAGACUCCUUGGACGUCUAAUUUACUUAACCAACACGCGACCAGACAUCCCUUCGCUGUCCACAAUUUAAGCCAAUUCAUAUCUCCACCCACAAGUCAUCAUCAGCAAGUUGUCUCACGUCUUUUACGUUACCUCAAGGGCACCCCUGGUGAAGGACUAUAUUUUUCUCACACUAGUUCACUUCACCUCUGUGGUUUUAGUGACUCUGACUGGGCAACAUGUCCUACCACACGCAAAUCUGUCACUAGAUAUUCCAUCUACUUAGGAGACUCUCUAAUAUCAUGGAAAUCAAAGAAGCAGCCAACUAUCUCCCGCAGCUCCUCUGAAGCCGAGUAUAGAGCCCUUGCCACCACCACAUGUGAGUUACAAUGGUUGUCUUACCUCCUUCAGGAUUUACAUCUUCCUCUCUCCCAACCUGCAACCCUGUACUGUGACAACAAAUCUGCCCUUCAAAUAGCUUCCAAUCAAGUUUUUCAUGAACGAACCAAGCACAUCGAAAUUGAUUGCCAUCUAGUUCGUGAAAAACUUAACUCUGGUCUCCUCAAACUACUACUCAUUACUUCUGCAAUGCAAGUUGCUGACAUUCACCAAGCCCCUUGCUUCCGCACAAUUCUCUACUCUCAAAUCCAAGCUGGGCCUGACAAAUAUCUACUCCCUAGCUUGAGGGGGGGUGUUAAUAUAUUUAAUUUUCUAUUUUAAAUUAUUGGGCUUUGUUUGUUUGGCCCAACUUUCCUUUUCUGUUUCAGCUAGGUCUUAAUCUUUUUCUUAUAUAUACACCAUGUAUUUUACUCUCUAAUAUACAAGUGAAUAAAAGUUUCUUUUAUAUUUAUUUUUCUCUACAAUUAGGGUUCAUCAAAACCUCUCUUUCUUCAUUACGAUUACGUGCGAUUACGUACGCUACAUUAAAGCAUCACAUCAGACAAGGAAUAUUCAUCUUCAUUUACUGUAAUAAAAUGCAUUAGAAAUUGAAACAUUUAUGAAGCUCACUGAGACUAAGGAUCUUAUUAUCUUAUUCUCAUACUGGAAUUUUGUAGUGUCACUUGUCUUGUUAUUUUGGGACUUGUUGUUUUAAGACAUAACUGGUGAUAUGUUUUAUGUACAUGUUCUACAUUGAAACCCACAGUUUACACCAAAUUAUGUUGACUCAAAGAGUAUAUGGAACUAUACAAAACUAUCUCAGCUUAUAAGAAAAAGAUAAAUCAUAAUUAAAAUUUAAAGUUGUUAUAGAAAAAUUUAUCCAAACAUAUCCUCUAAUCUCAGUGAUGGCUCAACCAGUGAACCAACUUCAAAUUACCUCAUAGGCAUCCAUCUAUGAUGAUCGUAUUUUGGAGAUGAUGUUGCAGAAAAACUUAGUUGUGCACGUGAAAAAUGGGGAUUCUUUCAGGUCAUUAAGCAUGAGAUUCCAAGUGAAGUUUUGGAUAUGAUGUGCUGGUAUGUAACACGGAUACAGAUAUUUUGAAUAAAAAUUUAUAUAAUAAGUUAUAAAUUUUUUAAAAAAAAUUAUUAGUUGUGUUAAAACUAUCUUAAAGUUGUCAAAUAUAAAAAAAUUUCUGCGUGUGAUACGUAUCCAAUAUCGAAAUACACCAAUUAAAAAUGGUGUUUGAGCUUCCUAGGAAGACACUUGGUUUUGUGAUAGCAUCGCAUUGUCCAGAAGCAUAAGAAAUGGCAGUUGUUUGCAGGUUCUUUUAUCAUUACAUUUUAAGCAUUAAUCCUUUGUCCGAUUAUUUUUAAGCUUUUUGUGUGUCUAUCUCUUAUCUCUUUUAAAUCUGUUCUACUUUGUUUUUUAAUAAUUUUUGAUAAAAAAAAUCGAUUUUUUCGUAAAUAACUAGUUGAUUUUCUGGAAUCAUAUUAAAAACAAAUUUGUUUUUGGCUAAACCGAUUUCUACUUUAUUGAUUUCUCAUUGGCUUUCAAUCUACCUCAACAUUUGCGAAAAUAUUUCAUAAACAAUUCACCCCCCUCUUAUUUAACGCCUACAUUUAUAACAAUAUCUUAUUGAUGGAUUGCUCCCUUAUGAGCCCUCGGAAGCCAUGAUCAUCAAUAAGAAUGCGAGUCCAUACACCCUGGUGGAUUUUUGUCUUUUCUGUUAUAGUUACACGCAUCCACUACUCCCUUGUGUAAGUGGGGACCAAUGUAUGCGAAUAAUGUCUAAGCUCCACGAGGGCAUUUGUGGCAGUCACAUCGGCGGGCGAGCCAUUUCUUUAAAGGCUAUCCGAGCAGGGUACUACUGACCGACGAUGAAGGAAGACUGUGGGAAGUAUGUAAGGAAGUGUGAAUAGUGUCAGAAGCAUGCCGAUUGGAGUCACUCGCCACCUGAGGAGUUGUGGUCAAUCUCUAGCCCAUGGCCUUUCCAUACUUGGGUAAUAGAUAUUUUGGAACCUUUUCUGUUAGCCCUAUGCCAAAUGAAGUACCUCAUCGUCGCCAUUGAAUAUUUCACUAAGUGAACCGAAGCUGAGCCGGUGGCGCAAAUAAUUGCUCACAAAGUCCAACAUUUUGUAUGGAAGAAUAUUGUAUGCCGUUUUGGGAUUCUUAGGCACCUGGUGUCCGAUAAUGGGACCCAAUUUGCCAACAGAUAGUUCAGGAAACUAUGCACAGAGCUCAGAAUUAAAUAGAUUUUUUCCUCGGUGGAACAUCCCUAAACGAAUGGCCAGGCUGAGUCAGCCAACAGAAUCCUACUAAGAGGUUUGAAAAGGAGACUUAAAAAAGCAAAAGGAGUUUGGUCAGAGGAAAUCCCCAUAAUCUUAUGGUUUUAUCAUACCACCCCACAGUCAACAACGACGGAGACACCUUUCAGUCUGGUGUACUGGUCAGAUGUCAUGAUACCAGUAGAAGUGUUAGAGAAUUUCCCAAGGUUCCAAAGUUUCAUUGCUGAAGAGAUCAACGAGGGAAGGAGAAUAAAAUUAGAUUUGUUGAGGAGGCGCACAACCGCGCCCGCAUAAACUCAGAGGCCUUGAAGAGAAGAGUGGAGUUGAGGCACAAAACUAAAACAAAGCUUCGACAAUUCAAGGUAGCCCGACUUGGUAAUGAGGAAACCCAUCCUUACCAGAUUUGAGAACAAGUUGUCUCCCAAGUGGACUGGCCCAUAUCGAGUAUCGAGGUACUUUGCAAUGGAAUAUAUAGGUUAAAAACUCUGGAUGGGGGAGCCAUCCCGUGAACAUGGAAUGUGGGGAGUCUCAAAUUUUAUUUCAGUUAAUAUGUUUAUUCACCUUGUUUCUUAAACAUUUUAUGUUCUCUUUUAGGGUGACACUUUUUUUUCCCUUAAAGGAUUUUUUUUUUUAAUGAGAUAGCCUUUAAAUAGUUUUUAUUUUGGAAAUCCACGAGCAAAUAGUUACCCUAGUAGGCGAACUGUGAGACGACAUAAUUCGGAACAGACACAGUAACCCGAGUAGGCACAUGGUAAGACGACCUAACUCGGAACAGACAUAGUUACCCGAGUAGGCACAUGGUAAGAUGACCUAACUCGGAACAAACAUAGUUACCCUAGUAGGCGCACUGUGAGACGACUUAACUCGGAACAGACAUAGUUAUCUGAGUAGGCACAUGCUAAGACGACCUAACUCGGAACAAACAUAGUUACCCGAGUAGGUGCACUAUGAGACAACUUAACUCGGAAUAAACAUAGUUACCCGAGUAAGCACAUGGUAAUACGACUUAACGGGGAUCAAACAUAGUUACCAAAGUAGGCGCACUAGAAGAUGACCUAACUUUGGGGGUGAGCAGCGUCAACACUCAUCACUGGGCCGAGCAUGAGUUCAGACUACCUCGUAAUACCAAUAACGACAUACCAUUAUGACAGAACCGUAAGGUGAGAUUGUUUGGCAAGGUGUCUGCCAUAAUGUCAAGAUAACCAAUGAUGUAGGCAAGGUUAAAGUAGCUAGUGAAUUCAACUGACCUAGAAGGGCGCCAUCCAUCUAAUAUUAAGCUUGUUUCUUAAGAGUUAUUCUUAUACGUUUCAUCUCACUCAGGUUAGGAAAUUUGUAAUAUGUUAGUUAUGCUGCAUUUGGUAUGCGAAGUCAAUUUAUUUGGCAAAGUACUUUUGGCAUGUAUUUAUAUGUUAUAGGCAAGACUAUUAACGCCCUAAUAAAGCACAUCGUGAGCUUAAGUUAUAGAAAAUGAUAAACACUCUUAGGAUUGUCUGAGUUCCAACGAUUAAAUAUACAUUUUAAAGGGACAAACAAAAUGACUAAUAAGUUCCAAUGUUAAAUGUAUGCAUAAAAUAUGGUUCAUAAACUUAGAAUUAGGAGUCCUCCACUAGCUUCCCAUCAACUAUGCUCUUGUAUAGGUUCAACUCGAAGAAGUCCACUGUGGGGUGGACGAUGGCUGCUUGCUCUAAGGCGGUUUCAAACCAAACAAUGAAUGAUUGGGUUGCAUCAUCCUUAAGGGAAUCAACCACCUUGGAGAACUUCCUUUGCUUAUGCGUCAUCUCCACUUCCUUUUCUUUCUUCAAGUCUUCAAUCUUAUUGGAGAGUUUGCUCUUCUCUUCGGCCAAGACAAGUCCCUCUUGGGUCUUAUUGGCCAACUCCAAGCACUAACAAUUCACCUCAACACGGAGGCGCUCAACCCCCUAUUGGAGUUCGACAAUCUGUUCGAUUCUCUUGUCUUCAGCCUUUUUUCGAUCCCUUACUUUGACAUUAGCUAAACACGCUGAGGAAAAUGCUUGGCCAAGAAGCUUCUCAGAGUCUUGGCGGAGAUGAUUUUCACCAUAAACCAUCAUCCUAGCCUUAUCCUCGUCUGACAAGAAACAUGACUCGCCAUGUGCUGGGAUGUCAAAGUUGGGAUCCCAUAAGCUCUUCCUUUUUGAACUUCCCACAACUUCGCACUCCUGGAUGGGUAAAAGAUUUUGAUAAGGAGCCUGACCAUUUGAAUGCGAGUGCUCGGAGGGCGGAGUCGCCUGCAAUCCUUUCCUCUUAAAAACAAGACCCGAGGUUGUGUGCUCGUCUUAUUUGGAUUGGACAUGAACAACACCAGCUGAGACUUUCUUCUUCUACAACGAAGAGUCCUUGUUUGCAACUGCACUCAUCUUCUUGGCACGCUCAAUCAGCUCGGCUUUGCUAAUGUUAGAAAGCAUGUUAUCUAUAAAAACAAACAACGUUUCAGAGUUCAUGAAUUAAGGUUUCCUUUCAAGGGUAAGACUAAAAAAGGGGAUAUACCAAUGUAGGCUUUGAGAGAACCAAGAAGGUACUCCCAAUCCCAAAGGGUAGAAUUAGCCACUCAUGUUGGUCAGUACAACCAUGGAAAGCAAGUAAAGAAGAUCAUAGACGUUUCUCCUUGAUGGCUGCCUCUUCUAGGGUUUUAUAUCUCCUUCUACUCUUCGAAUGACGUAUAGGGUUAUGCCUCACACCUCAUAUUUAACCUAGUUGGGUUUCGCUAAGUGACUUUUCGCUUAAGUGAGUCUAGCUCGCUUGGGCGAGUUUGACGAGAAUAAACCUAACUUAUCUAAAAUGAACUCGUCUGGGCGAGCCUUGGGCGAGUUCCUCUGGAGUGAUCUGGUUUGAGCAAGUUUGGACGAGUUUUGAGCCAUUUUUCCAUGUUCCAACUUUCCCUUUUCAUCUUGUUUAUUCUCCUUUAGCCCUUUCAUCUCCAUUUUCCGUUAGAAUCCUGAAAUUAACACAAAUUUGGAAAAAAAUUGUCUUAUUCAUAUUAUAAUCAUAAAAUAUGUAAAAAGUUUUAAAUUAAUAAAUUAGGGGUUAAAAUGUAGCUAGUUUUUUUCAAUAAACAUCCAUAAAUGUCUUUCGCUUAAUAUGAAAUAUUAUUGAAAUAUGACACUGUUGAACCAUGUGGUGUUCAAUGUUUUGAAGAAUCCAAAUCCUUUGAAGGAUGAUGAAUCCUCUGCUUUGCUUGUUGCUGUUGUGCUGGCUUUAGUCUUGUUCUGGGGUAGUUCAAUGUUGUAAUCAACACUUAGAUUAAAUCUCAAAGCAAUUAGCAUCUCAAUUUUAAUAAAGCAAAAUGUUUUUCAAACUAAGUUGAAACAACCGAUUGUUUUGUCGAAACAACCGAUUGUUUACACUUAGAUGUUUUGAGAAAGUUUGAAAACUGUUUUUGAAUGGUGUAUUUUGUUAAGUAACAAAACAACCGAGUGAUUCGAGGAAACAAUCGAUUGUUUAUUUUAAAACCAUAACAGAAAAACUGUUUUCUUUGACUGAGCUUUAAAUGCUUUAACUAAAUACGCUUCAGUCAUUAAAUGCUUUGACCAAUCUAUUUUAAAUGCAAUUAAGAGUUUGUUAAGAUUUGAUAACAAACUAUAUUCUUAGAUAUAUUCUGAAAAACAGUUUUGAUAUAUUAAGAAUCUUGAAACAAAGUUUUCAUAGAAGAGUUUUUCAAAGUAUUCUGAGAUUGCUAAAGAGUUGAGAGAUCGAUCAAGGUGCUGAAUAGGGAUUCUACUUGUAUUGAUUUCAGAUUUCCAUCUGUAACAAGUGUAAUCUUUGUAAACUGCUGAACAUUCGUUUAUGUGUGUUGCUGAGAUUGGCUAUGUGUUCUUGAGGUGUUCAAGAUCAGCAAUCUUAGUGUUGGCCAAGGAGAGUGUGUUUCUUGAGGUGUUCAAGGUCAUUCUCUUGGUUGUGGUGUAAGUGAUCAAGUGGUGAUUGCUUAGUGGAUAUCCUCAGGGUUUCUGAGAAGACUGGAUGUAGCUCUAGUUGGAGUGAACCAGUAUAAACAUCUGUGUACAAUCUUUCUAUCCCUAUCUCUUUAAUUUCAGUUUGUUUGUUGUUUGCUGGUAUAAACAACCGAUUGUUUCGAAGAAACAACCGAUUGUUUUUUCCUGAUAUCACUAUUUUGCUUGCUGUUUUGGCUAACUAAAUUGCUGAAUCAAUUGGUUUCUAAAAUAAGUUCAUUCUAGCUUAGAAAAGUUUGCGAAAACCCCUUUAAACAAUUCACCCCCCCUCUAGUUUAAAGCCAUCUUUUCUAACAGACACUUAUAAACUCUCCCCAACCUAGAAUCUUGCUUGUCUUCAAGAAAAUUAAAUGAAUAUAAAUAAAUUAUUUUGAACUCAAAUAUCAAAACAACUUUAUUCAUUAUAAGUUACAUUAGAAACUUAUAGUGCUUCCAACUUCAAAUAUAGCAAACUAUAGAUACAAUGUACUUCCAGGAUCAAACUAAAACAAUAAAAUGACAAUUCAUCAAGGAAUUUCUUCUCAUAUGCUCACAUAUAAGUAUUUCUCUCUAUUUUCAUUGAAUCCUAACAAAUCGCAGUUGCUUUUCAUUUCAUCUUCAUACUACAAUUAUAUAGGAAACAUGAAUCUUAAGGUCUUUUACAUGGUUAUAAUGAGGCUCGACUUCCAAAAAGUAUUGGUUGUUAGAUAAAAAAUAUAAAAAUUAAGCAACCACAACUUUCAAUUCAUCAGUAAAACUCUCAAAACUGUUACACACUCACCCGAUUUAAUUAGUCUCAUUCCUUAUUCUUUUGUCUUUCUUUGUUCUAAUCAAUCAUCCUAUUAAAUUUUCAUGUAUCAUAAAUCGUUCUUAUUAAUAUCAUAAUCUCAAAAUAUGUAAAAAAGUAUAAAUUCAUAAAUUAGGGUUAAAUUAUAGCUUUUUUUUAUCAAUAAGCAUCCAUAAGUGUUUGUCUUUUAAUAUGAAAUACUACUGAAAUAUGAUAGUCAUCAAAAUUUGAUACAAUCCAAGCCAACAAGGAGAUGACCAAGGACUCACAUGACCAUUCACACUAUGAGAAGUCUUCUCAACUUUCAAAUGAAUACCCCACCAAGGAUCUAGCAGACCUCACCAAAAGAAGAAAUGGACAAAUACCAGAAUGUCAAAUGUUCUUUCUUAUGGUCUUCUUAAAAAUAAACAUGUUAAUUUUGAAGAGAAAAGUUACUCUACACAAAUUGUGUUGUGAGGUUUGAAUCCUCUUGACUAGGUCUUAUCUUGAGUAGUGUGAGACUCUCAAGUGGCGGACCUUCACUCAUCUUGGUGGCUACCACACCUGCGUGAAUCAUUCUCACCAUCAGUCCAUAAGCUACACUUCUUCCACUAUUUUCAAUUCAUUUCCAUUUUCGCCUUUCAUAUAUGUUUUUUUCUUAAACUCUUGCUCUUGGAUUUGAUUUUGUUAUAUGCCUAUGGUUCAUCAUUUGGUUUGGCCAUGACCACCAUUGAUGUUUACCUUAUUGCCAUUUCCAUUCCACAUUGCAUUUCAUCUAUCACUUUAUAUUGAUUUUUCAUUUUUGCCUUUGUGAAGUGAACCUUCACACUUACUUAACCAUUUGGUUAAGUUCGUGUCCAGUGGGAAUCUUCCUUAGGUUUCACCAUUAAAUUGCUAAAAUCCCAACUCUAAGUAAAUUGUUACCAUAAAAGGGAACCAUCUAAAAAUCAACUCAUAUCAUGUGGUUAUCAGAGCUUAGGUUCUUGAGCUUUUUUUUCUUUGAGUUGAUUUGGCACUUUACUUUUCUUGCACCUUUAAUUUAUUGUCUUUACAUUCAAGCACCUUUAAUAUCUUGUCUUUACAUUCAAGCACAUUUAAUUUCAGCCCUUUAUUUUAUUGCUUUUCAAUUCGACAUUUAUCUUAUCAAUUAGCUUUGUUUUCGCUUUUGGAUGAUAAAUUGUGUCUUCUUUUGUUAUUGCCUUUUUUCUUUGAGUCAUAUAUUCUUUAGUGUUUCUAGGAGUCCUUAUAUUUUGCUUCUAAGUACUUUGCUUUUAAUUGUGAAAAUUUAAAAGUAAUUGGAAAUUUGUUUUNNNNNNNNNNNNNNNNNNNNNNNNNNNNNNNNNNNNNNNNNNNNNNNNNNNNNNNNNNNNNNNNNNNNNNNNNNNNNNNNNNNNNNNNNNNNNNNNNNNNNNNNNNNNNNNNNNNNNNNNNNNNNNNNNNNNNNNNNNNNNNNNNNNNNNNNNNNNNNNNNNNNNNNNNNNNNNNNNNNNNNNNNNNNNNNNNNNNNNNNNNNNNNNNNNNNNNNNNNNNNNNNNNNNNNNNNNNNNNNNNNNNNNNNNNNNNNNNNNNNNNNNNNNNNNNNNNNNNNNNNNNNNNNNNNNNNNNNNNNNNNNNNNNNNNNNNNNNNNNNNNNNNNNNNNNNNNNNNNNNNNNNNNNNNNNNNNNNNNNNNNNNNNNNNNNNNNNNNNNNNNNNNNNNNNNNNNNNNNNNNNNNNNNNNNNNNNNNNNNNNNNNNNNNNNNNNNNNNNNNNNNNNNNNNNNNNNNNNNNNNNNNNNNNNNNNNNNNNNNNNNNNNNNNNNNNNNNNNNNNNNNNNNNNNNNNNNNNNNNNNNNNNNNNNNNNNNNNNNNNNNNNNNNNNNNNNNNNNNNNNNNNNNNNNNNNNNNNNNNNNNNNNNNNNNNNNNNNNNNNNNNNNNNNNNNNNNNNNNNNNNNNNNNNNNUAGUGAGUUCAUUUUGAUUGGCAAAUUGAUUUCAACAUUGUGGAAUUUUUAUCCUUUUGAUUUAACAAUUUCUAAAGUCAUUGUUAAAAGUUUAGUAAGUAUCUUAAAGUCUUUUUGUGUGCCUUUUCUUGCUUAUCUUCUUUAAAAGUUUUGUCAUACAUCUUUUCUCAAACUUGGUUUAGCUUUCUUGUUUUGUGCUUUUCUUGUUUGUCCUUUAAAAUUUCCUUGAGUUUUGUUGUGGUCCUAUUGAGAUCAAGUGAUAAGGGCUUUGUCCUUUUUCAUUUGAGAGAUUUCAACACCAAGAUAGACCUUUGUUGAGGGGAAACUUUCUUUUUGAGUGUUUUGUGUCUUCUCCUCUUUGUUUUUACACAAGAGUGACACAAGAUAGAGGGAGAGUGAUCUAAAUUUUCUUUCACUAAUUGUUUGUUCAUUGUAUUUUAUGGCUCAUCUUUCUUCAGGGGAAUCAUGAAAACCUCAAUCUCUCCAAAAGGUUUUCCUUAUGGGUGAGUUGGCAGCGACAAAAAGGUCCCUAACACAAAAGGAGGAAGAGAUGAGGCAAUUGGAGGACAUACUCCAAAGGCUUGAAACCGCACAAGUAAGACAACCAAGAAGGUGGGAGAAUAAGAGAGCUACAAGGAGCUUCACUCAAUACGGCAACCGUGAGGAAGAUGAAGAUUGGAGUACUAAGGAAGAUUCAAAUUCAAAUUCCCAAAAAAAAAAACGAAACAUUCUAAACCUUAAUUCGUGCAUCACAUCUAUACAUCACCCCAAAGCACCCAUCGACACAUUUUCUCGGUACACCCUCAAAUCAACCACUUCUUGGCCGCAUCAACCACUCAAACCUCUUCAUGCUAAAGCAUUUCGAGCUUGGGGGCACAAGCGUACCACAUGGGGUUUAGACCCUCCUGGACACCGACAACUGAACUACCUAAACCUCACCUCGACACCUUAAUGACGAGUUUAAAAGGGGAUAAAAGGUUAAAUCAUACAUAGUGUGAGAACAUUAACCACGUGCUAAUACAGGCUCAUACUUAUGCACCCUUAGGUUAAAAAAUAUAUUUUACUAAUAACCUUAUACUAACAUAUAAAAAAAAGACUAUUUUAAUUAUUCUCCAACGAGCUUACUAACAUAACUGGGCCAAACCCAUCACCCACCUUAUAGCCCCAACAGUCGAGCUGACCUACCCAUAUCGUGCCCCGAGCUCCAAUCACUAAGCACUCUGUCCAGUACACAUCUCUUAUAUAAUUGUAAUAAAAAAAUAUUAAAAUGAGUCUUACCAGUGUUCUUCUAUGUAACAAACGAAUUUAUAUUUUUAGUGUAUGAACUGUGUUAUAAUAAUAUAACAUCCACAUCACCAAUAGAUUAUUAACAUGAAAUGAAAUAAUUUAACAUUUUAGUCCACACUAAAAAUAUGUUUGACACUUAAAAAAAACUACUUAUAAUAAUUCUCUUUCUACAAAUAACAAUAAUAAAAAUCUAAAAAUUAAAUUAAAAACAAAAAUCAAUUUCACCUUAAAAUAAGGCUUAAAAAUAAAAAUUGCAGAAAGUAGGGCGAAAUUUCACAAGUUUUGAUAGAGGAUAGCCUUGGUUUGAGCGAAAAUUUCUGAAAAGUUCUCCCGAAGUAGUUUUUUCCUGAAAUUCCACGUAAGAAUCUCCACUGAAUUCGGGACAAAACGCGACAAAUUUUAGUUGAAACGGAUGAAUAGUGAGCCACGAAAAAAAUCAAACAGUUUCACACACGAAUGAACCUUCCUUUCAGUCCUGGUAGUGAUCAAUAAAAAAUUUAUUGCCAAUCUUGUGGGACGAAUCUGGGGCUCAAAUCUCAGCCAAAACUCAAUAGACACAGUGAUGAACGUUUGGUAAAAAUUUCACACCAAAACACUCAAGGAGUAAGGCGUAGCAAGUCCCAGACCGAGAGUGAACAAAACUGGUUUUCCGAAAACAAAACGUCCUGGCUUUUCUUCCCCGUAUCUUCUUUUUUUGAUUUGUUUAUGGACGUGCCUCCUUACCUGGGUGCAAACAACAUUUGAAAGUACUUACAGGCUCAUAAGAAUAAGGGUCCAACUCAUCUCUAUAAAUAAGUUGACCAACAUCAUACCAAUGUACACAUUUUAAGACAUUUAUUACUCUCAACAACCAAUGAUCGAUCCUUGACUUGAGCGUUAGAGUGUUUCUUUUGCAAGUACCCCGCCCCGACCGAGAUCAGAUACCGUUGACCGGAAUGACAGAAGACAUAUAAAGCAGAUAGGAUGAAUUCUUUGACCUUAUGUAACCUUUUUAAAAUUCUUGCUAUGUUAGUGAUGGAUAGAUGACAAAAUCAAGUUUCUAACAUGAUAAGACGUUCUUUAAAAAUGCUUCAAAAAGUUAGUUUUUCAAAAAUUCUACUUUUUUAGGACACAUUUAAUAAUAUGUCAUUAUACAAGUUUAAGGAAAAAAUGAUUUAUGUUGUAUAAUUUUAUAUUGGUUGGUCCAUAGACAUAAAUUAUGUCGAGUACUUGAUCAAGUUCUAUUAGACAAACUAAUGUUGCAAAGUUCCUAACAAAACAUUAUUGAGAAUUCAAUUACUUGUGACUAGAUAACUUUAGUACUAUUUGAACACUUAGUCACUUCUAAUUAACAAUUAAAAGUAUUUUUGAAACGCAAUCACUUCUAAACAAUCGAGAAACAAUUAGAGUAUAAUUCCUAAAUAAAACACGAGUAUUUAUUUGAAACACACGAAAAAAAGAAAUAAUUUAAAAGAUGAUAAGAUUUUGCUUUCUAAGAAGAUAAUGUCUUUCAACAAAUAGGUUAAAUUCUAUAUUCUAAUUGGUCUCCUUAUAAAUGAUUCGUUAGAUUUAUUAUAUUGGGUGUAAGGUCAUCAGGUUAAUUAUUAAAUAAAAAAAUAAAAGAUUUAUAAAAUAGCACAUAUAAUAUAAUGAAAAGAAAGAAAAGAGUAUGGAUAAAUUAUAAUAAUUUUGAAAUAAAUAUCUCUUCUCUUGUCUGAGUUAUAUGUGGACGAGGAAGUCCCUUUCUCAUAACGUAACUUGCAUCCUACCUAAACCAAGUGUUUCUCUCUUCCCAUAAUAGUACCAAAAUUACCAAAAUCAGCACAAGGAAGCAAUAUGGGGUUUGGAGUUUCAGUCUCUGAGGAAGUAAACACUGAGAGGGUGCGUGAACUCAAAGAAUUUGAUGACACAAAAGCUGGUGUUAAAGGCCUUGCUGAUCAAGGGAUCACAAAAAUCCCAAGAGUAUUUCAUCAUCCACCCGAUGAACAAGUGAAGGUCUCAACUUCAGGCGGAGAAGCAGACGAUAUUCCUGUUAUAGACCUUGCAGAAGUUGACAAGGAUCCAAGUUUACGGCAAGGAGUUAUUGACAGAAUAAAGGAAGCAUCUGAGAAGUGGGGUUUCUUUCAAGUGGUCAACCAUGGCAUCCCUGUGACUGUUCUAGAGGACUUGAAAGAUGGGGUGUGCAGGUUUUAUGAACAAGAUACUGAGGUGAAAAAGGAUCUAUAUACCCGGGACCACAAGAAACCUUUUGUGUAUAAUAGCAAUUUUGAUAUCUACUCUUCACCAGCACUCAGUUGGAGGGACACUUUUUUUUGUUAUCUGGCUCCUAAUCCUCCCAAAC
This 44365-nucleotide long non-coding RNA is filed under the name Phaseolus vulgaris (common bean). RNAcentral's name for it is "long non-coding RNA (PVUL_LNC002922)". The record is from RNAcentral. Lineage: Eukaryota; Viridiplantae; Streptophyta; Magnoliopsida; Fabales; Fabaceae.